AUGAGCUUGGUGUCUUGGGCAUGCUUGCCGUGCCGGAGGCGUGGCACUGAUAGCUCCGGGCCGUGUGUCAGCCCAUGGAGGUGGGCGGCGCUGUGGCUGUCGUCAUGGCGCGUGGCGGAGGCGGCGGGCGGUGAUGUCGUACGUGCGGCGACCGCGGAGGCCGCCGAGGUGCUGCAUGGUGGCGCGGCGGCGCAGCACGGCGUGGCGGCAUGGAGGCACUGCAUGGCGGCAUGGAGGCCACGGCGGUGCAGGGCAAAAGCCGCGGCGGCGAGCCGGGCGCAGGCGGUGCGUGUUAUGGGUGCACACGGGCUCGUCGGGUGCGACGGAUUCGCGCGGGACGUGCGGGACGCACUGGUGCAGUCGGGCUCGUCAGGCGCGUUGGGUAUGCGCGGGACGUGCGGGACGCACUGGGGCGGUCGGGCCCGUCGGGUGCACGCGGGACGUGCGGGGCGUCGAGGGACGUCAGGCGUGUGUCGCCGGCGGAGAAAGAGCUCGGCGUGUGUCGCCGGAGUCGUGACGGAGCACGGUGCGACCGGCGUCGGUGUGCCAGGUCGGUGA
RNAcentral lists this ribosomal RNA (558 nucleotides) under Triticum aestivum (bread wheat). RNAcentral describes it as "partial small subunit ribosomal RNA". Lineage: Eukaryota; Viridiplantae; Streptophyta; Magnoliopsida; Poales; Poaceae. The record is from RNAcentral.